AGGAAUUGGAGUUUGCGCCUGCGCAAAAGUGUCAGGAAAGCAGGAGAAGGGAGGUUCAGAGGCGGUAUUGACAGCUGCGGCGGCAGCCCGCGUUCCCGGCAUGCCCUGGGGCGGCGGGGUUGGCUCUAACGAAUUUGAAUGAGGAGCCUCAGCGCUUUCGGCGCCAUUUUCGAGUGAUGCCUGAUCUCAUCAAUCUAGCGGGAGAGACGGGAUAACCUGUCCGAGUACAGUGCCACUAGGACUCCGCCAGAAAAAAAUCACUAAAAAAUUCGUCAAAAUUCUCUUGGACCAAAGGGCAGUCGGCGGUGCUUCGCCAAGGUUGGCGCAGUCGGUUUUGACCUUUAGGAGAGAGCCAAUUCUGGAGAACAACCUAACUUCUUUGAUUGAAUACUCACAUAAUAUGCUGGAACAUGGUAGGAGAUUAAGGUUUCAUAAUGAUAAAAUGAAGACCACAAUAAAACAGCCCCCUACUUAGCCCAGCAGUUCUUACCUUUCUGACCUACUUGAUGAAGAUGUCUUUUGAAAGGCAUACUGCCAGGAACAAAAUGUUUGUAAAUUCUGCUUUUACCAAGGUAAACAAUUACUAUUCCUUCCUCAUGGAAAAAGUUUUUUCUAAAUGUUAUUUUUCAUUGAAUAUUAUCAAAAAGGAGAAAAAUUAAUGUUCUAAACUUUUGAGAUAGAUUUGUCUCUAAAUUUGAUCCAUUCAGAAUGUAAAUAAAAAUGAGUGGAGCAGCGCUGGAAGCGAAGCGCUGAGCGAGCUCGGCACGAGGCAGCCUCUCCCCUCGCCCGCCACCCGUCCCCAGAGAACCGUGGCAUCUGGCAGCGCUGCGGGCAGUGAGGAGGAGCGCAGCCUCUGGGAAUGUGAGCUCUAUGUCCAGAAGCACAACAUUCAGGCACUGCUCAAGGAUUCUAUUGUGCAGUUGUGCACUGCCCGACCAGAGAGACCUAUGGCAUUCCUCAGGGAAUACUUUGAGAGGUUGGAGAAGGAGGAGGCAAAACAGAUUCAAAAUCUGCAGAAAGCAGGCACUUAUGCAGACUCAAGGGAGGAUGAAAUCCUAACUCCUCCACUCAACCCAGUGGUUAAGGGUCCGGGGCGACUAGGUGCUAUCAGCGCUGAAGUCUACACAGAGGAAGAUGCUGCUUCAUAUGUUAGAAAGGUCAUACCAAAAGACAAUGGCUGCUUUAGCCAAAGCUAUUGAAAAGAAUGUGCUGUUUUCACAUCUUGAUGAUAAUGAGAGAAGUGAUAUUUUUGAUGCCAUGUUUCCAGUUUCCUUCAUUGCUGGAGAAACUUAUUCAGCAAGGUGAUGAAAGGGAUAACUUCUAUGUGAUUGAUCAAGGAGAGAUGGAUGUCUAUGUCAACAAUGAAUGGGCGACCAGUGUUGGAGAAGGUGGGAGCUUUGGAGAACUUGCUUUGAUUUAUGGAACACCUAGAGCAGCUACUGUCAAAGCAAAGACAAAUGUGAAAUUGUGGAGUAUUGACUGAGACAGCUAGCUAUAGAAGAAUCCUUACGGGAAGCACAUUGAGGAAGCGGAAAAUGUAUGAGUUGUUCCUUAGUAAAGUGUCUAUUUUAGAAUCUUUGGACAAGUGGGAACGUCUUACGGUAGCUGAUGCAUUGGAACCAGUCCAGUUUGAAGAUGGGCAGAAGAUUAUGGUGCAGGGAAAACUAGGGGAUGAGUUCUUCAUUAUUUUAGAGGGGUCAGCUGCUAUACUACAACGUUGGUCAGAAAAUGAAGAGUUUGUUGAAGUGGGAAGAUUGGGGCCUUCUGAUUAUUUUGGUGAAAUUGCGCUACUGAUGAAUUGUCCUCGAGCUGCCACGGUGGUUGCGCGUGGCCCCUUGAAGUGCGUUAAGCUGGACUGACCUAGAUUUGAACGUGUUCUUGGCCCAUGCUCAGACAUCCUCAAACGAAACAUCCAGCAGUACAACAGUUUCGUGUCACUGUAUGUCUGAAAUCUGCCUCCUGUGCCUCCCUUUUCUCCUCUCCCCAGUCCAUGCUUCACUCAUGCAGACUGCUUUAUUUUCCCUAUUGCAGCACCAAAUGGCCACUGGCAUUGCAGCUUCUUGUCUGUUUAUAGUAAAAGUUGCUUUUAUUGCACUGUUUUUAAUUUGGAGCAUUAACCGAAUGCUCGUACACAGUUAAAUAAAUAGAAAGAGUUCUAUAGAAACUUUGCUGUUAUUGCUUCUCUUUGUGCAGUGUUAGUGUUCCACCUGGGCAGUGAGUGCCAUGCUUUUUAAGGUGAGGGCAGAUCCCAGCGCCAAAUGCAUUACCAUAGAGUAAUGAUAUAACCGUGCAAGAUUUUUUUUUAAGUGACAUAAUUUUCCAGUUAUAAGCAUAUUUAGACUGUGGCCAUAUAUGCGGUAUUUCUUUGUAGAAUAAAUGAUUUCUCAUGAAGCUCUAAGGAUUAGGAAAAAUGGAUAUAGAAAAAUCUUAGUACAGUAGAAAGACAUCUGCCUGUAAUUAAACUAGUUUAAGGGUGGAAACAUGCCCACUUUUGCUAGUUAUAAGAUGGAUAUGAUUGGUUCAGUUUUUUUUUCCCCUUUUAACCAGAAUUUUUGUUUGCCAAGCUAAUUUGCCUGGUUUUGUUUAUAUCUUAUUAUUAAUGUUUCCUCUCCAAUUCUGAAAUAUUUUUAGGUGUGGCUAUCUAUACCUGCCUUUUGAGUUUGAAACCAAAUCAUAAACUGUAAAUAUUGGGUUAUGAUUUAAUUACAUCUGUCCCAGCUCCCAAAUUCUGAUUAGACCUUUAUCCAGCUAGUGCCAAAUAUCGAUCAUCAGAUGCUGAAUUGAGAAUAAGAAUUUGAAGUCUACACUCUUGAUUGUUAACUUAGAGCUUUUGGUUAGUGUACAACCUUCAGUUGACACCAGUAUAAUCUCCUAUGCUCAUUAAACUCUGAUUCCAGGAGAUUAGAUUUGCUGAGACUAGAUAUAAAUGGGAUAAAUGUCAUAACAGAGAAGUGAAGGUGAUUUUGCUAAAGGGAGAAAUGUCAGGUAGACAAACUUCAGUGUGCAGAAUUUUUCCCCACUAAAUUCACUGGGAUGUGAGAUUUGGGAAGAAAUUUUUAUUACUUCGGUUUAGCCUUUUUUUCCUCCUUUUUAUGUCAACUAGAAUUUCUGGUGGGUUGCGGGUGGGAUAGGAUGUAUGUGUGUUGUUUCAAAUUGGUCUAAAAGGCCAUCCUGCUGGAAGUCCUGAUUUCCUAUCUAGCAUUUAUUUCUCUGGCAGACUUUUUUGAAAGUAAACUUGUGUUUUGAGUCUUAACUGUAUUUCAGUAUUUUCCAGCCUUACGUGUUACAUUAUUCCAAUGAUACCCAAUGGUUUAUUUUUAUUAUUGUUAUUUUUUUAAACAAAAUUUCACAGUUCUGUAAUGUAGGCAUUUUUAUUUUCAUUGUGAUUUAUAUAUAACGUAGGGUUAUUUGGGAGUGACCGUAAGCGUUUUCCAUCUGUGUGCAUCUGGCUCUGAUUAUUGAUCCCCUUUCUUACCCUUUCCCAGGUAAUUUAAAUCGGUCAUGGUAGAUUUUUUUCCAUAGAUUUGAAAAGAUUUUAGGUUGUUACUAAGUUUAAAGCAUAAAUCUGAGAAAGAGGUUUUAUUUACAUUUUAGUAUGGAGUAGAAAGCCACCUUGAUACAAAUUUCAUUUCCAAAAUAAUCUAUAUUCAAUGAGGGUUUUCUGAUCUAUACUUUGUGUUUAGCUACCUUUUUUAUUUUUAAAACAUGAAAAAUAAUGUUCUGAUAAGCUUAAAGCUUGAUUUGAUCUUUGUUUAAAUGCCAAAAAUGUACUUAAAUAAAUUACUUAGAAUGCCAUAAAAUUGCACAGUUUCAUAUAUGUAUAUAAUCAUGUUUAUGUAUAUUUAGAUACAAUGCUUUCUAAAUGAGUUUUACCCAAAUGAUUUGGCUUGCUGUUUAACUCCCUUUUGUAGUUUUUAAUCUAAGAAAUUUUAAGAUAAGUCUAAAUUUAAAAGUUAUCACAUUUAAAGCUUUAUCUUUGUGCAAUCUAAGUAUAUGUGAGAAAUCACAAUUGGCAUAAUUUGUCUUAGUUGAUAGUCAGGGCUUUAGAAGCCAUUAUUUUUGGGCUUGGUAAGUGAAUUGAUGAGAUGUGCUCUAGAAAGUAUAGAUGGCCAAUGGACCAUUUUGUACUGUUUCCAGGUUACCAGUCUGAUUAUACUGUGUGUGCUAAUAUACUCUAUUCUUUUUGUUAUAGCUUGUCUUAAUGGUAGGCCAAGUAAUAAAAAGAGAUGAAAUAAAAAAAA
Molecule: long non-coding RNA, 4241 nt
Organism: Lemur catta (Ring-tailed lemur)
Lineage: Eukaryota; Metazoa; Chordata; Mammalia; Primates; Lemuridae
Exons: 7
Source: RefSeq, a predicted model, not a curated record